GCCCAUGUCCCUUUGAGAUUUUAUGGAAGCUUCAUUACAUAGGCAUGGUUGAUUAAAUCACUGGCCUUUGGUGAUUGAUUCAACCCCCAGCCCCUUCUCCUCCCUGGAGGUUGGGGAUAGGACUGAAAUUUCCAACCCUCUGGUCAUGUGGCUGGGUCUCCUGCAAACCAGCCCCCAUCCUUAGGUACUUUCUAAAUGUCACCUCACUAACGUAACAAGACACAUGUUUAUCUUCUGUCUUAGGAAAGGCUCAGUGCUAGAAAUGGGGCCAAAGACCAAAUAUAUAUUUCUUAUUAUAAGUCACAAUACUAGAGCUAAUUAACCUGUGACAUUGGGGACUCUAUCAUAAGGAGAUGGGUAGGACUUGAAGGCCUUCGAUAAAGCUGGGUUAUUGAGCAGAAGUCCUGUAUUUCUAUGAAUUUUUCCAUAUUUCUGACUUGUAUCAUCUCCCUCCAUAUUGGCAGGUGAUAUUAGAUUUUUUUUUUUUUGUAAAAAAAAAAAAAACACUAAUUAGCAGAUUCUGACUGCAUACUUACUAUGGGUCAGGAACUUUCAGAGGUGGAGGGCUAUGGGCUCAAAUUCCAUUUUAUCAAAGUUUUUGUGGUGAUGUCAGUUUUGCUGAGUAAACAGUUUCCUGUUUUUGCCCUGAGCCACUGGGCACUGUAAUCAGAAAUCAGCAAUUUCCACCCUACAUUAUGAAUUUUGUCCCUUGAGGAAUUUGUCCCUUGAGGGCCCUGCUGGGAAGAGCCUCUGCGAUCUGAGUUCAUGCGAUCUGAGUGAAGUGCUUGCCUCAGUGCCUGGUACCCAGUAACUUGGCUGUGACUAGUAUGAUUGUUUUAUCAGCACUGGUGACAUUGUCUCAUAGGUUCCUACAGGGAGCGAUCAUCUGUUUAGCAGAUAUUUAUUGAGCACCUACUAUGUGCCAGGCACGGUUUUGGCACUGCAGAUGAAACAGACAAAAUUCCUGGUCCUAGUGAAGACAGGACAUGUUCUACCGGAGACAGGAAAUAAACAAGCUGAUCAGUAGAAUAUAUAGUGUGCUAGAUAGUUUGAGUGCUAUAGAGAAUACCAGGUAGGGAGAGGAGACUGAAAGUGGAAGGGGGUUUCAGUUUGGAGGUGUCAGCUUUAAACAGAGCCCUCAGGAAGGCCUCUCUGAGAAAGUGCUCUUUGAGCAGAGAGAGAUACGAAGGAGGUCAGAGUUAGCUCCUAGAUGCCUGGGGAAGGAGCCUUCUAGACAGAGGGCAUAGCAAAUACAAAGGCCCUGAGACAGGAGGGAGCCAAGAACCCCAAGGAGGCCAGCAAGUCCAGAGUGAAGUGAGUGGGAGGAGCUGGAAAAGAGGAAGUCUCAGAAGUUAUAACUGCUGGUUGGGUAGGGCCUUGUGGGAGGUUCUGGGAACUUUGUAGUUUACUGUGACAUAGGGUAUGGUAGAAAGAUAUUGAGCAGAGGGAGAUGAGAUCUGAUUUGGAUUUUAAGAGGCUCUCUCUGGCUCUCAUGUUCAGAAAUAGACCAUAGAAGGACAAGGGCAGAAGCAGGGAGACCAGUAAGGAGAUGUAUUAGUUUCUUAUUGCUGCUGUAACAAAUUACCACAAAUUUAGUGGCUUAGAACAACACAAAUUUAUUAUUUUACUGGUCAGGAGGCCAGAGUCCUAACAUCAAGGUGUAAGCAAGACUGUGUUCCUUCUGGAGGUUGUACAGCAAAGUCCAUUUCCUUGACUUUUGCAGCUGCUAAAGACUGCCUGCACUUCUGGACUCUUGGCUUCUUUCCCUGUCUUGAAACCAGCAGGAUAGCAUUGUCAUCUCUCUUUCUCUGACAUCUGUUUUCAUUGCCCCAUUUCCUUCUUUGACUCCAACCCUCCUCUUUCCCAUAUAAGGACCCAUGUGAUUAAGUUGGCCUCAUCUGUAUAAUCCAGGAUUAUCUCUCUGUCUCAAGAUCCUUAAAUUGAUCACAUUUGUAAUGUCCUUUUUGCCAUGUAAGGUCUUCACAAUUUGGGGGGAUUAGGGUGUGUUCAUCUUCAGAAGGCCAUUAUUCUGACUACUGUAGGGGUUAGUGCUUUUGUGUAGGGGAAGGAUGAAGGUGGUUUGGGCAAAGGUAGUGAGAAGCAGUUGGAUCCUGGCUAUAUAUAUCAAGCUGCCUCAUAUCUUGGGCCAGUUUCAGCAUGGAAGCUUCCAGAAUUCUGUGGGUCUGUGGCAUAGGUAUCCCCUUUUUCAUUGUCAUUUCAGUUGACUUGGGCCUAUUUCUCAUCCCCCUGAAACUAAGGAACCAUAGACAGUUGUGGUGGGAAGGAACUUCAGAAGCUAUCAAAUCUCCUAUUAUACCUUUAUAAAUUCUUGCUUUGUCCUGGGCCCAUUGAUAACUUCUUGAGUGGUUUUUACCAACUAUAUAUUCUUUUAUUGAUUCAUUCAGCAUUUCCUAGGCAUCUGUUGAGGGUGCUGGUCUGUGCUAUGUAAAAGUAGAAAUAGAAAAUGUAAGAGUCAUGAUCCUUAUCUCUGGGAGAUAGGGACCUAUUUGCAAUCUCUUUGGAAAGAAAUCAGAGAACAAUUUUAGAGCCAAAUGUGAAUGAGAAAUGAAAAAUGCAAGAUUCAUGCAUCAAUACCAAGGGAGUGAAGAAUGUGGAGAGGCUUCUUGGAAGAAGUAACAACAGGUCAUGGAUUUUUAGUUUUCAAUGGGGACCCUGUCAAGAGAAUUGCCAGCUUUUAAUUUUGCUAAGAAUGAAUAUUAGAAAAAUUCUUACCAUCCCUAUUGCUAUCAUUUUAUAAUAGGUAGGACAUUUAAGCAUCCAAGAUAUAAAAAGGACGUGAUCUCAGAAUAAAGGGGGAAUCUCUUGCAUAAAACAUUUUUAGCUUUAUAAAACCUCAAUGCUUUAUUUUUCUCAUUUCAUGAGAGUCAUUGUGGAUUGGCACACCUCAGCCUAGAGACAGAAGAUUGUUUGGGUUGUUUAUAGUUUGGAUUUCUGACUUCAUUGAACGUGACUCUCUCCUUGUAUUUCUUUGGGCUCUGACUUCAGAUGGCUGGUGAUCAGAUGACCAGGACCUGGUGUCUUGCUUGUGGAUAUUCUUUAUUUUUUUAAUAUUUAUUUAUUUUGAGAGAGAAAUAAGGAGGGGCUGAGAGAGAGAGAGAGAGAGAGAGAGAGAGAGAGAGAGAGAAUCCCAAGCAGGCCCCACACUGUCAGCACAGAGCCUGACGGGGGCUCAAUCCCACAAACCACAAGAUCAUGACCUGAGCUGAGAUCAAGAAUCAGACGUUUAACUGACUGAGCCACCCAAGUGCCCAUUGUAGCUACUCUUGAACCUUGUCCUGCUACUGGCUCCUUUACCAGAGGGAAUUUGGGGAGGCCAAGGAGGGAAGAGAAAUGAAGACCAGUUUGCACUGGGGCAUCUGUGGCCAUCUUGUGGUGAGCAAGUGGUUGGCCCAAGUGAUAGUCUAAUUCGACAUGGAGAUUUUGCGAUAUUCUGUGGGGUUCAGUCGUCGUGAUUUUGUUAGUUUCCCAUGGCUUUUACAACAAAUGACCGCAAACUAGGUGGCUUAAACAACAGAAGCUUAUUCUCUUAUAGUUCUGGAGGCUGAAGCCUGAAAUCAAGGUGUCAGCAGGGCCAUGCUCCCUCUGAAGGCUCUAGGGAGAAAGGCUUCCUCACCCUUCUUAGCUCCUGCGGUCGGCCAACAAUUCUUGGUAUUCCUUGGUUCACAACUGCCAUCACCACAGUUUCUGCCUCUGUCCUCCCACAGCGUUCUCUCUGUGUAUCUACCCGUCUGUAUGUUUGUCUCUUAUAAGAACAUCAGUCACUGGCAUUAGGGCCCCUCUAAGCAAGCAACCCCCCAUCUUAACUAAUUAUAUCUGCAAAGGCUGUAUUUUCAAAUGAUAUCACAUUCUGAGGUUCUGGUGGAUUUGAAUUUUGAGGAGACACCAUUUUGGGCUGAAGGGUGUUCCUUCAAAAUUCAUAUAUUGAAGACAAGCCCCAGUACCUUAGAAUAUGACUGUCUUUGGAGAUGGGGCCUUAAAGCACGAACUAGGGAAAAAUGAAACAUUGGAGUGGGCCCUGAUCCAAUCUGACUGGUGUUCUUAUGGAGGUUAGGACAUGCAGAGACAACCAGGGAUGCCCACACGUGAGGAAAGACCACGUGAGGACACAUGAAAGAGGCGGCCAUCUUCAAGCUGAGAAGAGAGGCCUCUGGAGAAACCAAACCUGCCAGCACCUUGGUCUUGGACUUUCAGUCCCCAAAAUGACACUCCAGCGGAAUCAUCGGGCCAUAUGGGAAAAACGGAGGCUUGACCUGGGAGGCGGGCGUUUUCACGUCCUGUUCACAAAUCCUGGUGAUCAAUAAUGUGGGAAGACAAUGGGAAUGCCAGAGGGUCUCUUUCUGUCUCUCGCAGGAUCAUGUUAUUUUUAACCCCCUUCUGCUGCCUGUGGUCCUCUGGAAAGCCCGUCUCCAGAGUCACAAACGUUUGUUUGCUCUUCUUAAGGUUGAAGCCAUUUUCCCCCCUGCUCUGGGCAUCGCCUGUGCGCACCCCCCUACCCGCCCCCCCCCCCCGAGUUCUGCUGUGUUACUGGGGAUGCCGUUUUGUUUUCUUUCCCUCCUUUGUUUUUGCCUCUUCAAGAAAAUGAAAGUGAGCACCUGAGAGAGAGAGAGAGAGAGAGAGAGAGAGAGAGAGAGAGAGAGGAAGGCAGAGGGGGAAGACUGCGAGCACCAAAUGAUCUGAGAAUGAUAAAGGAAGGUUACCUGUGUGUUUGUCAACAAGACGAAAUAAAUAAGAGCAAAAAAAAAAAAAAAA
This is a long non-coding RNA of Felis catus (domestic cat), 4770 nucleotides long. RefSeq lists it as uncharacterized. The record is from RefSeq and is a predicted model, not a curated record. The transcript has 2 exons. Lineage: Eukaryota; Metazoa; Chordata; Mammalia; Carnivora; Felidae.